CCUACGGGAGGCAGCAGUGAGGAAUAUUGCACAAUGGGCGAAAGCCUGAUGCAGCAACGCCGCGUGAAGGAAGAAGGGUUUCGGCUCGUAAACUUCUAUCAACAGGGACGAAAGAAAUGACGGUACCUGCAUAAGAAGCCUCGGCUAAAUACGUGCCAGCAGCCGCGGUAAUACGUAGGCGGCAAGCGUUAUCCGGAAUUACUGGGUGUAAAGGGUGAGUAGGUGGCAUGGUAAGUCAGAUGUGAAAGCAUGGGGCUUAACCCGAGGAUUGCAUUUGGAACUAUCAAGCUAGAGUACAGGGGAGGAAAGCGGAAUUCGUGGUGGAGCGGUGAAAUGCGUAGAUAUUAGGAAGAACACCGGUGGCGAAGGCGGCUUUCUGGACUGAAACUGACGCUGAGGCACGAAAGCGUGGGGAGCGAACAGGAUUAGAUACCCCGGUAGUC
This 443-nucleotide ribosomal RNA is filed under the name uncultured bacterium. RNAcentral's name for it is "partial 16S ribosomal RNA". It matches the Rfam family "Bacterial small subunit ribosomal RNA", at positions 338 to 795 of the family's 1533-position model. The record is from RNAcentral.